GACGGGCCCCGCACAAGCAGCGGAGCGUGUGGUUUAAUUCGAUGCUACACGAAGAACCUUACCAGGGUUUGACAUGCAAGUGGUAGGAAUCUGAAAAGGGACCGACCUUCGGGAGCUUGCACAGGUGCUGCAUGGCUGUCGUCAGCUCGUGUCGUGAGAUGUUCGGUUAAGUCCGCUAACGAGCGCAACCCUCACUGUGUGUUAUAUGUGUCACACGGGACUGCCGGUUUUAAGCCGGAGGAAGGUGGGAUGACGUCAAGUCAGCAUGGCCUUUAUAUCCUGGGCUACACACACGCUACAAUGGUCGGUACAAUAGGUUGCCAAGCCGCGAGGCGGAGCCAAUCCACAAAGCCGGCCUCAGUUCAGAUUGUAGGCUGCAACUCGCCUGCAUGAAGAUGGAGUUGCUAGUAACCGCAGGUCAGCAAUACUACGGUGAAUACGUUCCCGGGUCUU
Molecule: ribosomal RNA, 453 nt
Filed under: uncultured Anaerolineaceae bacterium
Lineage: Bacteria; Bacillati; Chloroflexota; Anaerolineae; Anaerolineales; Anaerolineaceae
Description: bacterial SSU rRNA
Rfam family: Bacterial small subunit ribosomal RNA
Source: RNAcentral